AUGGGGAGAAAUACUUACAGGAAAGCUGAGUUUAUCCUUUUUGGCAUGCUAAUGUUUAUUUUUAUUGUAUUUCUGCUUACCAGAUUUCCUAGUGGUAAUUAUUUCCCAUUGACUCGGACCAAAGGACGGUGUGGACACCUAACAAAUAGUGUGCGGCUGAUAUGGAGAAUAUGUCAAGUCAACUGGAUGAGUCAGCACGGGCAACAUAAAGGACUGCAGUUAAAAGCUAGGGCUAGGACUUGGAGGAUGUGUAGGCAAACGGAAGGAGAGCCGGGGGAAGAAAAACCGAAAUGGAUUCAUUCUCCGUCCUGGAUGGAGGAGGAGAGGAGAGGAGAAGGGGACGUGCGAGCUUCCUUCAGCUGCCUCUGUCCGGUGAAAAGUGCUCGAAGCCCCGGGGCUGCCUCGGGCUCAGGAGUCCGCGCGGACUUUCGCUGUAAGCUGCCAAUCAAACUGCUAACUAGCCACCACCCUGCUCUGGCAAGGACAUGUAAGUAG
This 495-nucleotide long non-coding RNA is filed under the name Anser cygnoides (Swan goose). RNAcentral's name for it is "lncRNA (ENSACDG00005000156.1)". The stretch from base 219 to 487 matches the Rfam family "SOX2 overlapping transcript exon 3". From Rfam's summary of the family: SOX2 overlapping transcript (SOX2OT) is a long non-coding RNA, containing at least 5 exons. The SOX2 gene, an important regulator of neurogenesis, lies within one of the introns of SOX2OT. SOX2OT and SOX2DOT (an isoform of SOXOT transcribed from a distal highly conserved element) are expressed in zones of neurogenesis within the brain. The record is from RNAcentral. Lineage: Eukaryota; Metazoa; Chordata; Aves; Anseriformes; Anatidae.